RNAcentral lists this ribosomal RNA (497 nucleotides) under uncultured bacterium. RNAcentral's name for it is "partial 16S ribosomal RNA". It matches the Rfam family "Bacterial small subunit ribosomal RNA", at positions 28 to 507 of the family's 1533-position model. The record is from RNAcentral.
GAUGAACGCUGGCGGCGUGCCUAAUACAUGCAAGUCGAGCGAACGGACGAGAAGCUUGCUUCUCUGAUGUUAGCGGCGGACGGGUGAGUAACACGUGGAUAACCUACCUAUAAGACUGGGAUAACUUCGGGAAACCGUAGCUAAUACCGGAUAAUAUUUUGAACCGCAUGGUUCAAAAGUGAAAGACGGUCUUGCUGUCACUUAUAGAUGGAUCCGCGCUGCAUUAGCUAGUUGGUAAGGUAACGGCUUACCAAGGCAACGAUGCAUAGCCGACCUGAGAGGGUGAUCGGCCACACUGGAACUGAGACACGGUCCAGACUCCUACGGGAGGCAGCAGUAGGGAAUCUUCCGCAAAGGGCGAAAGCCUGACGGAGCAACGCCGCGUGAGUGAUGAAGGUCCUCGGAUCGUAAAACUCUGUUAUUAGGGAAGAACAUAUGUGUAAGUAACUGUGCACAUCUUGACGGUACCUAAUCAGAAAGCCACGGCUAACUACGUG